GCUGCACAGGCAACUGCAGAAGCAAGAGCCUUUUGAUGGCUGCCCACACAUGGAGGGCAGCAGGACUUGUUUCAAAGAAAAACCACAUCAUAAAACUGAGGCAUGGACCAGAGAACAUCAGGGCUAGAUACCGCAGAGGGCUCGGAGCUGGGCUUCGUCCUGGGGCUAACAAGGCCUGGCCUAAGGAGGCCACUGGGAGCUACAGGGUCUGCAGGGCCUCUCACUGGCCUGGAGGAGGCGCUGAAGAAUCUCCAAACAUCCAUUUGCAUGUCCAAAGAGACUUAGGCACCUCACCAUCCUGAGGCUUCUCUAAAGGGCGGGAGCCUCUCACACCUACCAAGGCUGCUCUCAGAGUUAAAUAAGGUAAUGCACGUGAAGCUCUCAGCUCGGGGCCUGGCGCCCAGAAUCGGCUGCUAAAAUGAAAGCUCCCUGAAGGCAGGGCACCAUCUGCUCUGACUCCCCAGUGCCUGGCACCCUACCUGGCACACGGUGCCUCAUUAUUCCUGGGCAGAUGUGCCAUGACAUUGAGAGCAGGCCAAGUGCGGGGGGAUUCAGCAGUCUGGUCUCUGACUCCAGGGAGAUGUAGGGGACUGUGCAUCUCUGCGACACGGGGGCUGUGGCCCCAAUGGGAGGCUGCCCAGGGAACAGCUGCCCCCCAGGGUUAAAAGCAAUGAGGUUGGCCUGUUGGGGGUUCACUGCCAGCUCAGUCCAAGAGGCCAAGCUGGAGUGGGAGCUUAACUUCUAGCCACAUCACUGGUUUGUAUCAAGCCCCCUAGCCUCCACCUCGAGCAGCUCAGAAAUACUUUGUAGGGAG
RNAcentral lists this long non-coding RNA (814 nucleotides) under Dasypus novemcinctus (nine-banded armadillo). RNAcentral's name for it is "lncRNA (ENSDNOG00000049947.1)". The record is from RNAcentral. Lineage: Eukaryota; Metazoa; Chordata; Mammalia; Cingulata; Dasypodidae.